AUGGCGCAGCUCUGGGCGGUGUUCCUGGCCGUGGGGUCGCUCGCCAUCGGCCUGCUCGGGGUGCUCGGAGUCUGGCUCUGCUACCUGUUCCAGGCCGUGGCGCUGGGCCCACCUCCCGCCCCGCCGCCCGAGACGCCAGACACGAGCGACGACGGCGACGGCGACGACAAGAACGGGCUAUCGGAGGCGGAGCUGAGGCGGCUUGGCGGGGUCGUCCAGGCGGAGCCCGCAGUCGACGACGAGGAGGAGGCGCUCUGCCCCAUCUGCCUCGACGCCAUGGAGCCGGGCCGCGCCGUGCGCGUCCUCCCCGGCUGCAACCGCGCCUUCCACCAGGACUGCGUCGAUCGGUGGCUGGCCAUCUCGCCGCGCUGCCCCGUGUGCAACAUCUGGGCCACGCCGCAGUCGCCGCAGGCCUCGCUGACGGUGGCCAAGACUGCUCCGGGGUGCUGA
RNAcentral lists this ribosomal RNA (450 nucleotides) under Triticum aestivum (bread wheat). Its description in RNAcentral is "partial small subunit ribosomal RNA". The record is from RNAcentral. Lineage: Eukaryota; Viridiplantae; Streptophyta; Magnoliopsida; Poales; Poaceae.